GAUGAAGAACGCAGCGAAAUGCGAUAAGUAAUGUGAAUUGCAGAAUUCAGUGAAUCAUCGAAUCUUUGAACGCACAUUGCGCCCGCCAGUAUUCUGGCGGGCAUGCCUGUUCGAGCGUCAUUACAACCCUCAGGCCCCCGGGCCUGGCGUUGGGGAUCGGCGGAAGCCCCCUGCGGCACAACGCCGUCCCCCAAAUACAGUGGCGGUCCCGCCGCAGCUUCCAUUGCGUAGUAGCUAACACCUCGCAACUGGAGAGCGGCGCGGUCCACUGCCGUAAAACCCCCCAACUUUUUAUAGUUGACCUCGAAUCAGGUAGGACUACCCGCUGAACUUAAGCAUAUCAAUAAGCGGAGGA
RNAcentral lists this unclassified non-coding RNA (355 nucleotides) under soil metagenome. Its description in RNAcentral is "partial contains 5.8S ribosomal RNA, internal transcribed spacer 2, and large subunit ribosomal RNA". The stretch from base 1 to 120 matches the Rfam family "5.8S ribosomal RNA", at positions 35 to 154 of the family's 154-position model. The record is from RNAcentral.